RNAcentral lists this ribosomal RNA (1372 nucleotides) under uncultured bacterium. Its description in RNAcentral is "bacterial SSU rRNA". It matches the Rfam family "Bacterial small subunit ribosomal RNA", at positions 28 to 1381 of the family's 1533-position model. The record is from RNAcentral.
GAUGAACGCUGGCGGCGUGCCUAAUACAUGCAAGUCGAGCGAACGGACGAGAAGCUUGCUUCUCUGAUGUUAGCGGCGGACGGGUGAGUAACACGUGGAUAACCUACCUAUAAGACUGGGAUAACUUCGGGAAACCGGAGCUAAUACCGGAUAAUAUUUUGAACCGCAUGGUUCAAAAGUGAAAGACGGUCUUGCUGUCACUUAUAGAUGGAUCCGCGCUGCAUUAGCUAGUUGGUAAGGUAACGGCUUACCAAGGCAACGAUGCAUAGCCGACCUGAGAGGGUGAUCGGCCACACUGGAACUGAGACACGGUCCAGACUCCUACGGGAGGCAGCAGUAGGGAAUCUUCCGCAAUGGGCGAAAGCCUGACGGAGCAACGCCGCGUGAGUGAUGAAGGUCUUCGGAUCGUAAAACUCUGUUAUUAGGGAAGAACAUAUGUGUAAGUAACUGUGCACAUCUUGACGGUACCUAAUCAGAAAGCCACGGCUAACUACGUGCCAGCAGCCGCGGUAAUACGUAGGUGGCAAGCGUUAUCCGGAAUUAUUGGGCGUAAAGCGCGCGUAGGCGGUUUUUUAAGUCUGAUGUGAAAGCCCACGGCUCAACCGUGGAGGGUCAUUGGAAACUGGAAAACUUGAGUGCAGAAGAGGAAAGUGGAAUUCCAUGUGUAGCGGUGAAAUGCGCAGAGAUAUGGAGGAACACCAGUGGCGAAGGCGACUUUCUGGUCUGUAACUGACGCUGAUGUGCGAAAGCGUGGGGAUCAAACAGGAUUAGAUACCCUGGCAGUCCACGCCGUAAACGAUGAGUGCUAAGUGUUAGGGGGUUUCCGCCCCUUAGUGCUGCAGCUAACGCAUUAAGCACUCCGCCUGGGGAGUACGACCGCAAGGUUGAAACUCAAAGGAAUUGACGGGGACCCGCACAAGCGGUGGAGCAUGUGGUUUAAUUCGAAGCAACGCGAAGAACCUUACCAAAUCUUGACAUCCUUUGACAACUCUAGAGAUAGAGCUUUCCCCUUCGGGGGACAAAGUGACAGGUGGUGCAUGGUUGUCGUCAGCUCGUGUCGUGAGAUGUUGGGUUAAGUCCCGCAACGAGCGCAACCCUUAAGCUUAGUUGCCAUCAUUAAGUUGGGCACUCUAAGUUGACUGCCGGUGACAAACCGGAGGAAGGUGGGGAUGACGUCAAAUCAUCAUGCCCCUUAUGAUUUGGGCUACACACGUGCUACAAUGGACAAUACAAAGGGCAGCGAAACCGUGAGGUCAAGCAAAUCCCAUAAAGUUGUUCUCAGUUCGGAUUGUAGUCUGCAACUCGACUACAUGAAGCUGGAAUCGCUAGUAAUCGUAGAUCAGCAUGCUACGGUGAAUACGUUCCCGGGUCU